GGGUUGUGAGGUUAAGCGACUAAGCGUACACGGUGGAUGCCCUGGCAGUCAGAGGCGAUGAAGGACGUGCUAAUCUGCGAAAAGCGUCGGUAAGGUGAUAUGAACCGUUACAGCCGGCGAUGUCCGAAUGGGGAAACCCAGUGUGAUUCGUCACACUAUCGUUAACUGAAUACAUAGGUUAACGAGGCGAACCGGGGGAACUGAAACAUCUAAGUACCCCGAGGAAAAGAAAUCAACCGAGAUUCCCCCAGUAGCGGCGAGCGAACGGGGAGCAGCCCAGAGUCUGAAUCAGCUUGUGUGUUAGUGGAACGGUCUGGAAAGUCCGACGGUACAGGGUGAUAGUCCCGUACACCAAAAUGCACAGGCUGUGAACUCGAAGAGUAGGGCGGGACACGUGGUAUCCUGUCUGAAUAUGGGGGGACCAUCCUCCAAGGCUAAAUACUCCUGACUGACCGAUAGUGAACCAGUACCGUGAGGGAAAGGCGAAAAGAACCCCGGCGAGGGGAGUGAAAAAGAACCUGAAACCGUGUACGUACAAGCAGUGGGAGCACCUUCGGGUGUGACUGCGUACCUUUUGUAUAAUGGGUCAGCGACUUAUAUUCUGUAGCAAGGUUAACCGUAUAGGGGAGCCGCAGGGAAACCGAGUCUUAACUGGGCGUUAAGUUGCAGGGUAUAGACCCGAAACCCGGUGAUCUAGCCAUGGGCAGGUUGAAGGUUGGGUAACACUAACUGGAGGACCGAACCGACUAAUGUUGAAAAAUUAGCGGAUGACUUGUGGCUGGGGGUGAAAGGCCAAUCAAACCGGGAGAUAGCUGGUUCUCCCCGAAAGCUAUUUAGGUAGCGCCUCGUGAACUCAUCUUCGGGGGUAGAGCACUGUUUCGGCUAGGGGGUCAUCCCGACUUACCAACCCGAUGCAAACUACGAAUACCGAAGAAUGUUAUCACGGGAGACACACGGCGGGUGCUAACGUCCGUCGUGAAGAGGGAAACAACCCAGACCGCCAGCUAAGGUCCCAAAGUCAUGGUUAAGUGGGAAACGAUGUGGGAAGGCACAGACAGCCAGGAUGUUGGCUUAGAAGCAGCCAUCAUUUAAAGAAAGCGUAAUAGCUCACUGGUCGAGUCGGCCUGCGCGGAAGAUGUAACGGGGCUAAACCAUGCACCGAAGCUGCGGCAGCGACACUAUGUGUUGUUGGGUAGGGGAGCGUUCUGUAAGCCUGCGAAGGUGUGCUGUGAGGCAUGCUGGAGGUAUCAGAAGUGCGAAUGCUGACAUAAGUAACGAUAAAGCGGGUGAAAAGCCCGCUCGCCGGAAGACCAAGGGUUCCUGUCCAACGUUAAUCGGGGCAGGGUGAGUCGACCCCUAAGGCGAGGCCGAAAGGCGUAGUCGAUGGGAAACAGGUUAAUAUUCCUGUACUUGGUGUUACUGCGAAGGGGGGACGGAGAAGGCUAUGUUAGCCGGGCGACGGUUGUCCCGGUUUAAGCAUGUAGGCUGGUUGUCCAGGCAAAUCCGGAUAAUCAAGGCUGAGGUGUGAUGACGAGGCACUACGGUGCUGAAGUAACAAAUGCCCUGCUUCCAGGAAAAGCCUCUAAGCAUCAGGUAACAUUAAAUCGUACCCCAAACCGACACAGGUGGUCAGGUAGAGAAUACCAAGGCGCUUGAGAGAACUCGGGUGAAGGAACUAGGCAAAAUGGUGCCGUAACUUCGGGAGAAGGCACGCUGGUGUGUAGGUGAAGCCCCUGCGGGUGGAGCUGAGACCAGUCGAAGAUACCAGCUGGCUGCAACUGUUUAUUAAAAACACAGCACUGUGCAAACACGAAAGUGGACGUAUACGGUGUGACGCCUGCCCGGUGCCGGAAGGUUAAUUGAUGGGGUUAUCCGUAAGGAGAAGCUCUUGAUCGAAGCCCCGGUAAACGGCGGCCGUAACUAUAACGGUCCUAAGGUAGCGAAAUUCCUUGUCGGGUAAGUUCCGACCUGCACGAAUGGCGUAAUGAUGGCCAGGCUGUCUCCACCCGAGACUCAGUGAAAUUGAACUCGCUGUGAAGAUGCAGUGUACCCGCGGCAAGACGGAAAGACCCCGUGAACCUUUACUAUAGCUUGACACUGAACAUUGAGCCUUGAUGUGUAGGAUAGGUGGGAGGCUUUGAAGCGUGGACGCCAGUCUGCGUGGAGCCAACCUUGAAAUACCACCCUUUAAUGUUUGAUGUUCUAACGUUGGCCCCUUACCGGGGUUGCGGACAGUGUCUGGUGGGUAGUUUGACUGGGGCGGUCUCCUCCCAAAGCGUAACGGAGGAGCACGAAGGUUAGCUAAUCCUGGUCGGACAUCAGGAGGUUAGUGCAAUGGCAUAAGCUAGCUUGACUGCGAGCGUGACGGCGCGAGCAGGUGCGAAAGCAGGUCAUAGUGAUCCGGUGGUUCUGAAUGGAAGGGCCAUCGCUCAACGGAUAAAAGGUACUCCGGGGAUAACAGGCUGAUACCGCCCAAGAGUUCAUAUCGACGGCGGUGUUUGGCACCUCGAUGUCGGCUCAUCACAUCCUGGGGCUGAAGUAGGUCCCAAGGGUAUGGCUGUUCGCCAUUUAAAGUGGUACGCGAGCUGGGUUUAGAACGUCGUGAGACAGUUCGGUCCCUAUCUGCCGUGGGCGCUGGAGAAUUGAGGGGGGCUGCUCCUAGUACGAGAGGACCGGAGUGGACGCAUCACUGGUGUUCGGGUUGUCAUGCCAAUGGCACUGCCCGGUAGCUAAAUGCGGAAGAGAUAAGUGCUGAAAGCAUCUAAGCACGAAACUUGCCCCGAGAUGAGUUCUCCCUGAGACUUUAAGUCUCCUGAAGGAACGUUGAAGACGACGACGUUGAUAGGCCGGGUGUGUAAGCGCAGCGAUGCGUUGAGCUAACCGGUACUAAUGAACCGUGAGGCUUAACCUUACAACGCCGAAG
Molecule: ribosomal RNA, 2923 nt
Filed under: Klebsiella pneumoniae
Lineage: Bacteria; Pseudomonadati; Pseudomonadota; Gammaproteobacteria; Enterobacterales; Enterobacteriaceae
Description: bacterial LSU rRNA
Rfam family: Bacterial large subunit ribosomal RNA
Source: RNAcentral